AAAGUGCUAGCUACUUGAAAUGUUGCAAUUCUCCGAAUCUCUCUUUCUCUUGUUCUUUUUUUUUUUGAACUUUCUUCGGUUGGGUCCACUGCGCGAGUACUGGCGCCGAGACGCCGAACGGGCUUGUCACCACCUGGCACCUUC
Non-coding RNA from Caenorhabditis elegans, 144 nucleotides. NCBI's taxonomy places the organism in Eukaryota, Metazoa, Nematoda, Chromadorea, Rhabditida, Rhabditidae. The record is from Ensembl.